Molecule: transfer RNA, 67 nt
Filed under: Proscopia sp. HS-2014
Lineage: Eukaryota; Metazoa; Arthropoda; Insecta; Orthoptera; Proscopiidae
Description: tRNA-Tyr
Rfam family: tRNA
About the family: Transfer RNA (tRNA) molecules are approximately 80 nucleotides in length. Their secondary structure includes four short double-helical elements and three loops (D, anti-codon, and T loops).
Source: RNAcentral
GGUGAGAUGGCUGAAUUAGGUGAUGGAUUGUAAAUCUGUUAAUGAAAUAUUUUUAUUUCUCUCACCA